UAUUCUCUCGUUAUAUAAUAUUAAAUAAGAUAAUUUAAAUACUAUAAAAAUCGUAAAUCUUUUUCUGAUAGAUCAAAGUGAACAAGUAACAUCCGAUUCAUAAAAUGCUUUUUCACGCUCGAACGAAUUCGAAGUCGAAUAAGGAGGUGCAAAUCGGAGAGAAGCUAGGAAAUCCAAACUGUGCCUCGUUAAGAGACAUUGUUGGGAGAAGAGAAUCACUAACCGAUUUCUCUCUCUCUCUCUCUCUCUCUCUCUCUCUCUCUCUCUCGCUCUCUCUUUAUCUUUGUCCGUCUGUUCGUCUAUCUCUCUUUUUCUCUUGGAAUACUUUCCAUGCACUUUUUUCUAAUCCCCGAACAAUAGGCCCGUCUCGUCGAGCUGAACUCGAAAUCGUGAGUGAAAAAGAAGACUCAAAUGUCAGGAUAGAUAGAUAGAUAGAUAGAUAGAUAGAUAGAUAGAUAGAUAGAUAGAUAGAAAGAUAGAUAGAUAGAUAGAAAGAAGAAAAAUGGGAAAGAUGAAAGCUGGAAAUCGCAUUUUCAGCAGGUUAAGCGUUUUAACGAGUCCUCGCAGUGUCGGUGAACUCGAACGAGUGCUCUGCAAAAAAAAAAGAGAAAGAAAAAAAGGAAAAAAAAAAGAAAAAGACAGAAAGAAAGAAAAAAAAAGACAAGAGCAGGACGCAUGAACGGAUAGAUAGGUAGAUAGAAAAAGAAAAAGAAAGAGAGAGAGACAGACAGAUAGAGAUAAAGCGAACUGAACAACGAAAUAACAUUUUCAGCAUAAUCUAGCGACCUAGCCGGCAGGAUCCAUUGUUCUCUGGAGGCCAGAAACGUUAGCAGAACAACAGCAACAGCAACAGCGACAGCGACAGCGACAGCGACAGCUAGAGCGGCAGCUACAACGGCAGCUACAGCGACAGCUACAGCGACAGCGACAUCGACAUCGACAUCGACAUCGACAUCGACAGCAAAAACACCAACGAGGUUAAUAGGCGCGACAUUGGAUAAGCAGCCAAUGAGGAGUCGAUGACGCGACUCGCUUGAGAAAAUCGUGUUGCUCGCCGAUUACCGACGAUGAUCGUGGACUAUUCAAAGAGGACUAUUAUCACAAUUACUGAAAGUACGUGACCCCGAGAGUAUCAUCGUCGAGUCGAUCUAAAGAGAUAAUAAUAACGAAUUUGAUAAAUCGAGUUUCUCUCUCUCUCUCUCUCUCUCUCUCUCUCUCUCUCUCUUUCUUUCUUUUUUUCUUUCUCCUUCUGUCUUUAUCUGUCUCUCUAACAGUUGCUAAUGUUCAUCCUUUUCGCGAUCAUACUGAACCACACAUCUCGACCUACCAUCCAUACUACCCCACCCCACCUCCCGUCUCUCACCUUCCACAAACACCUUUCCAUCAUUUCUGUAAAUAGAAUGAUCCCAUUGGUUGCGUUUGUAAAAGAUAAAAUGAAAUAAUGUCGUCGAGUAUCAAGACCUUCUCUCGACAUUUUUCUCUCGUGCGAUAUUAGAAAGUAGAAGAAAAGAAACCCGAAAAAAAGGAAAUAAAAAAUAGAAAAAAAAGAAAUAGAAGAAAGUGAGUAAGAAAGAAAGAGAGAAAGAGAAAAAGAGAAGGAACACGAUAGCGAACGACACGGGUUCGAGUCUAUACCCCCGAACGCGAAAAGUCAUUAGUCGUUUCUUUAUGUUCUCCCGGCGAUAAACUUAUCGUGCACGAAUAGCUUCGCGAGUAAAAGGAGAACUUUGAGUUGGAGAGGUUGUGAAUGAAGGAGAAAGACAGAGAAAGAGAGA
Molecule: long non-coding RNA, 1775 nt
Organism: Vespula pensylvanica (western yellowjacket)
Lineage: Eukaryota; Metazoa; Arthropoda; Insecta; Hymenoptera; Vespidae
Exons: 2
Source: RefSeq, a predicted model, not a curated record